ACGCAGCCGCGGUAAUUCCAGCUCCAAUAGCGUAUAUUAAAGUUGUUGCAGUUAAAAAGCUCGUAGUUGAAUUUCGGGAUCAAUAUUUCGGUCAUGCCGUUGGUAUGCACUGUUAUCAUUGAUUUCUCACCUUCUAAAGAACCGUAAUGCCAUUAAUUUGGUGUUACGGGGAAUUAGGACUGUUACCUUGAAAAAAUUAGAGUGUUUAAAGCAGGCUCACGCUUGAAUACAUUAGCAUGGAAUAAUGAAAUAGGACAUCCGAUUCUAUUUUGUUGGUUUCUUGGAUCGAUGUAAUGAUUAAUAGGGAUAGUUGGGGGCAUUAGUAUUCAAUUGUCAGAGGUGAAAUUCUUGGAUUUAUUGAAGACUAACUACUGCGAAAGCAUUUGCCAAGGAUGUUUUCAUUAAUCAAGAACGAAAGUUAGGGGAUCGAAGACGAUCAGAUACCGUCGUAGUCUUAACCAUAAACUAUGCCGACUAGGGAUCGGAUGAUGUUAAUUUUUAAUGACUCAUUC
RNAcentral lists this ribosomal RNA (512 nucleotides) under uncultured Glomus. RNAcentral describes it as "SSU rRNA". It matches the Rfam family "Eukaryotic small subunit ribosomal RNA", at positions 568 to 1081 of the family's 1831-position model. Lineage: Eukaryota; Fungi; Glomeromycota; Glomeromycetes; Glomerales; Glomeraceae. The record is from RNAcentral.